Molecule: ribosomal RNA, 429 nt
Filed under: uncultured archaeon
Lineage: Archaea
Description: bacterial SSU rRNA
Rfam family: Archaeal small subunit ribosomal RNA
Source: RNAcentral
UACCUGCAGCUCGAGUGGUAACCGCUAUUAUUGGGCCUAAAGCGUCCGUAGCCGGUUUGGUAAAUAUCUGGGUAAAUCGUGAGGCUUAACUUCACGAAUUUCGGAUAGACUGCCAGACUUGGGAUCGGGGGAGGUCAGAGGUACUCCAGGGGUAGCGGUGAAAUGUUGUAAUCCUUGGAGGACCACCGGUAGCGAAGGCGUCUGACUAGAACGAGUCCGACGGUGAGGGGCGAAGCCCUGGGGCGCAAACCGGAUUAGAUACCCGGGUAGUCCAGGGUGUAAACAAUGUGGGCUUUGUACUGGAGGUCCCACGUGGGCGUCCAGUGCAGAAGAGAAGUUGUUAAGCCCACCGCCUGGGAAGUACGGUCGCAAGGCUGAAACUUAAAGGAAUUGGCGGGGGAGCACAGCAACGGGAGGAGCGUGCGGUUU